GCCUUCGUAGUGUAGUGGUCAGCACGCUCGACGCGUAUUCGAGAUGUCCAUGGUUCGAGUCCCGGCGAGGACA
Stegodyphus mimosarum is the source of this 73-nucleotide non-coding RNA. The record is from Rfam. NCBI's taxonomy places the organism in Eukaryota, Metazoa, Arthropoda, Arachnida, Araneae, Eresidae.